UUGUGGCUGGACGAAGGAGUGAGUCUGGAGCUGAGAUUUAAGGUUGGGGUGUUCAGGCUGGAGUUCGGGGCUGGGAAAGGGGACAGGGACUGGGUCUUGCGAGGAACCCAACCAAACAGGAGCUUAUGGUUUUCUCCUCUCCUUGACAGAGAUGUGGAUCAAGAAGGAGGAGUCGCCAGAUUUCGGUUUCCCGGACCGGACAUUUGCCAUCUUUGUGGUGGAAUACUGGCAGAAAGAUGGGCUUGGACUCCAGCCACAGGCACAAAUAAUUUAGCCAACAAGUGAAUUCACAGACAGACAGACUGGCGAUCACUGCAGCAUCAGGGAGCAGCAGAUUUUCACUCGCGGGGAUUUGCGGACGGAGGUUACCUGUCAUGCUGCUUAAUACUGUGAUGGAGUGAGGAGGCGACAGGCCAGUAUUUCGUGCACCCCCCCCCCCCCCAUCCCUCUCUGUCCUCGCUUCGUGGAACAGAGCAGGUGAGAAACAUUAACAGAGGCAGCAGCAGCAGCAGCAGCUGUGGCCCUCUGCUCCACACAUGUGAGCCAGGAUAUGAGCUAGUUCGAGCUCGCCCACUCUCAAACAUCGGUCAUUACUGUUAACACUCUCCUCUCUGAAGCAAAGAGUGUGUAGGAGAAAAAAAAGGCUGAAACGAGGUGGAAGCAACACAAACCGUUGCUUUGAAUUCCAUGCACUUUAUUCUAAAGUAUGCUGUGAACAGUUAUCAUUAGCUUUAGUGCAGGGGUUCGAAAACAUUUAGACUUGUGACCCCUUAAAACCAAACUCUUCCUACUCAUGUCACAGGUUGCAGAGAGUUGUACGCUUUGUUUUGUUUCUUUAAUUUGAAACAUCUUUGUUUUCACAACUAAAUAGUUACUCAGUAGAGAUCAUAACUCCGCCUUAUGAAAAACCUUUAAAUUCACUAGAUCUGUAUUUUCAUUUGAAUCUGCACAAAAUAUCAGUCUCGUAAAUAUGUGCGUUUGAAAAAAAAAACCCAUUAAUUAUUCUCUGUGAAAUAAAGGACAAUUAUAAAAAACACCAUAUUUCAGAAUGUUAAAAAAUAGUGAAUAUCUAAACUGGAUCCACACCAAAAAUGGAUUUGUUCUUCCCAAGGUAAGGACCGACCCCUCCACAACAUUUCAUUGAAAUCUGUUGAGCAGUUUUUGCAUAAUCCUGCUAACUAACAAAAGAAUGCCGAGGAAAACAUAGGUUAUAAAAGUACUUCUCCAUAACACUAUCUUCCAGCUUUCUUCAUGGGUUGACUGAAUGUCUACUGUUUGGUCUGGAGUUUUUUCAAAUGGACCCUAUUAAAUGAAUAGAACAUUGCAUUUUAAAGCCGUUGAGGUUGAACUAGUUUCUAUAAAAUCCUCAUUAUCACGGUGCUCUUUAAAUUGCCUUCUGGUUGCAUUUGAAUAUGAAAACAUCUUGGUUGUAAAAUUUGUUUAGCAUCAUUUGAAUUCCCCUUCAGCUGGAGCCGUGAACCGGAUGACCCAGUCGUCACAUUGUGUUCCCGAGCACAAAGACGCCAGUCACAUGGGGGGAGCUGUCCCAGAGGAGAGAGGCGUGUGUGUGUGUGUGUGUGUGUGUGUAUUUGUGUUUCUGUGAAUCAUAACUGCUGUUUUGUAUUCAGCGAAGUGUGUUGAAGCGGCGUCACCUGCGAGAACAGGGGUCCUGAAGGGACUCUUGUUUUUAAAGACUGUCCUUUGGGGUGAGGUAGUAGGUUGUAUAGUUUUAGGGUCAUACCCUUCCUGUCAGAUAACUAUACAAUUUACUGUCUUUCCUGAAGUGGCUGUAAUGUCAUCAGAUGCCAGUGUUGAAGCUGUCGGAUCUGGAACAACUCGAUGGAAUGUGGGGUAAACGCUUCUCACUGCUUAGAAGAUAACUACAUUUAAUAAUCACAGGUUGCAUGGGCUUGUAGUUAUUGUUUGUCUGUCAUGAUUUUCAGAUUCUGUACUUCUAAGAAAAAAAUGAUUCAAAGUGUAGUCUUUCUGGUAAAAAUGAUUAAAAAGUGAAUGUUGUGUAAACUUUUACAAACACCUGUUCUCAUCUGACUGUCACCCUUUGUCCUUUUUUCAUGUUUCUGUCUAUUCAACAGUUUAUUGUCCAUCUUUAAUCAUCAGUCUUCAAAGUUGUGCUCUCAUAUUUUGUAUUGCUAGUGUUUCAGAAAUAAAAAUGAGAGGUUUAUUUUCAAAAUGAAAUGUAUUUAGUAUUAUAAAAUGAUGUCUUUGUUAUGUCACUCCACCAUUAUGCUCUCAAAUGUUGUGGCAAAGCAAAACUCGCCGCCCUGUAGGAUCACUCUGAUGUCUGUACGGGGUGAGGUAGUAGGUUGUGUGGUUUCAGGGUAGUGAUUUUGCCCAAUCAGAAGAUAACUAUACAACAUACUGCCUUCCCUGAAGGGCAGCAAUACGUCACCAAACAGACAACAGGGGGCGUCAUGUUCACAAAAGAUAAAAACUCCCAGGAUGAGUGAAGCAAACCGGGUCAAACGUCCAGGUCAUGAGCUUUUACCUGGACCAGCCACAGCAGCAGAGAGGACGACAGGUAAAGUCUGUUCAUGUGUGGAAGUUGUAGUUUUUUAUUUCUGCUUCAAACUAUAAUAAAAGCUAAGAAAUAA
Molecule: long non-coding RNA, 2612 nt
Organism: Pleuronectes platessa (European plaice)
Lineage: Eukaryota; Metazoa; Chordata; Actinopteri; Pleuronectiformes; Pleuronectidae
Exons: 3
Source: RefSeq, a predicted model, not a curated record